This 251-nucleotide ribosomal RNA is filed under the name uncultured bacterium. RNAcentral's name for it is "partial 16S ribosomal RNA". It matches the Rfam family "Bacterial small subunit ribosomal RNA", at positions 524 to 776 of the family's 1533-position model. The record is from RNAcentral.
UACGUAGGGGGCUAGCGUUGUCCGGAAUCAUUGGGCGUAAAGCGCGUAGGCGGAUAUUUAAGUCGGGGGUGAAAGCCCAGGGCUCAACCCUGGAAUUGCCUUCGAUACUGGAUAUCUUGAGUUCGGGAGAGGUGAGUGGAAUGCCGAGUGUAGAGGUGAAAUUCGUAGAUAUUCGGCGGAACACCAGUGGCGAAGGCGACUCACUGGCCCGAUACUGACGCUGAGGCGCGAAAGCGUGGGGAGCAAACAGG